AUCCAGGUGAUGAGUGCCAAAUGGGACGAAAUACGCAUCCUGGAU
Molecule: non-coding RNA, 45 nt
Filed under: Trichobilharzia regenti
Lineage: Eukaryota; Metazoa; Platyhelminthes; Trematoda; Strigeidida; Schistosomatidae
Source: RNAcentral